GACGAACGCUGGCGGCGUGCUUAACACAUGCAAGUCGAACGGAAAGGCCCUGCUUUUGUGGGGUGCUCGAGUGGCGAACGGGUGAGUAACACGUGAGUAACCUGCCCUUUACUUUGGGAUAACUUCAGGAAACUGGGGCUAAUACCGGAUAGGAGCUCCUGCUGCAUGGUGGGGGUUGGAAAGUUUCGGCGGUUGGGUAUGGACUCGCGGCUUAUCAGCUUGUUGGUGGGGUAGUGGCUUACCAAGGCUUUGACGGGUAGCCGGCCUGAGAGGGUGACCGGCCACAUUGGGACUGAGAUACGGACCAGACUCCUACGGGAGGCAGAAGUGGGGAGUAUUGCACAAUGGGCGGAAGCCUGAUGCAGCAACGCCGCGUGCGGGAUGACGGCCUUCGGGUUGUAAACCGCUUUCGCCUGUGACGAAGCGUGAGUGACGGUAAUGGGUAAAGAAGCACCGGCUAACUACGUG
Molecule: ribosomal RNA, 468 nt
Filed under: uncultured bacterium
Lineage: Bacteria
Description: partial 16S ribosomal RNA
Rfam family: Bacterial small subunit ribosomal RNA
Source: RNAcentral